AAACCAGCACCUCAAGUGGUCAGGAUGAUUAUUGGGCCUAAAGCAUCCGUAGCCUGCUUUGUCAGUUUUCGGUUAAAUCCAUGCGCUCAACGUAUGGGCUGCCGGAAAUACUGCAAAGCUAGGGAGUGGGAGAGGUAGACGGUACUCGGUAGGAAGGGGUAAAAUCCUUUGAUCUAUCGAUGACCACCUGUGGCGAAGGCGGUCUACCAGAACACGUCCGACGGUGAGGGAUGAAAGCUGGGGGAGCAAACCGGAUUAGAAACCCCAGUAGUCC
This 274-nucleotide ribosomal RNA is filed under the name uncultured bacterium. RNAcentral's name for it is "partial 16S ribosomal RNA". It matches the Rfam family "Archaeal small subunit ribosomal RNA", at positions 473 to 747 of the family's 1478-position model. The record is from RNAcentral.